UGGGGAAUUUUGCACAAUGGGGGAAACCCUGAUGCAGCGACGCCGCGUGAUUUAGAAGGCCUUCGGGUUGUAAAAAUCUUUUCUAUGGGAAGAAAAUGACAGUACCAUAGGAAUAAGGACCGGCUAAUUACGUGCCAUCAGCCGCGGUAAUACGUAAGGUCCGAGCGUUGUCCGUAAUCAUUGGGCGUAAAGGGUACGUAGGCGGGUAAGCAAGUUAGAAGUGAAAUCCUGUAGCUCAACUACAGUAAGCUUUUAAAACUGCUCAUCUUGAGAUAUGGAAGGGAAAGUGGAAUUCCUAGUGUAGCGGUGAAAUGCGCAGAUAUUAGGAGGAAUACCGGUGGCGAAGGCGACUUUCUGGCCAUAAUCUGACGCUGAGGUACGAAAGCGUGGGUAGCAAACAGG
RNAcentral lists this ribosomal RNA (402 nucleotides) under Bacteroidota bacterium. RNAcentral's name for it is "Bacteroidetes bacterium partial 16S ribosomal RNA". It matches the Rfam family "Bacterial small subunit ribosomal RNA", at positions 355 to 776 of the family's 1533-position model. The record is from RNAcentral. Lineage: Bacteria; Pseudomonadati; Bacteroidota.